This 533-nucleotide ribosomal RNA is filed under the name uncultured bacterium. Its description in RNAcentral is "bacterial SSU rRNA". It matches the Rfam family "Bacterial small subunit ribosomal RNA", at positions 346 to 896 of the family's 1533-position model. The record is from RNAcentral.
UGGCAGCAGUUAGGAAUUUUGGGCAAUGGCCGCAAGGCUGACCCAGCAACGCCGCGUGGGGGACGAAGGCUUUCGGGCUGUAAACCCCUUUCCCAGGGACGAUGAUGACGGUACCUGGGGAAUAAGCCCCGGCUAACUACGUGCCAGCAGCCGCGGUAAUACGUAGGGGGCGAGCGUUGUCCGGAUUCAUUGGGCGUAAAGCGCGCGCAGGCGGCUUCGUAAGUCGGCCGUGAAAUCUCCAGGCUCAACUUGGAGGGGUCGGGCGAGACUGCGGAGCUGGAGGCAGGUAGAGGGCGGUGGAAUUCCGGGUGUAGUGGUGGAAUGCGUAGAGAUCCGGAGGAACACCAGUGGCGAAGGCGGCCGCCUGGGCCUGGCCUGACGCUGAGGCGCGAAAGCGUGGGGAGCGAUCCGGAUUAGAUACCCGGGUAGUCCACGCCGUAAACGAUGGGCACUAGGUGUCGGGGGUAUCGACCCCCCCGGUGCCGUCGCUAACGCAGUAAGUGCCCCGCCUGGGGAGUACGGCCGCAAGGCUA